CACACUGUAAACGAUGUGCACUAGGUGCUGGGGCGGAUGCUUCAGUGCCGGAGCUAACGCGGUAAGUGCACCGCCUGGGGAGUAUGCUCGCAAGGGUGAAACUCAAAGGAAUUGACGGGGGCCCGCACAAGCGGUGGAGCAUGUGGUUUAAUUCGAUGGUACGCGAGGAACCUUACCUGGGUUUGACAUACAGUGGAAUGUGGUAGAGAUAUCACAGUGUAGCAAUACACCGCUGUACAGGUGC
Molecule: ribosomal RNA, 244 nt
Filed under: uncultured bacterium
Lineage: Bacteria
Description: partial 16S ribosomal RNA
Rfam family: Bacterial small subunit ribosomal RNA
Source: RNAcentral